This 461-nucleotide long non-coding RNA is filed under the name Brassica napus (rape). Its description in RNAcentral is "long non-coding RNA (BNAP_LNC010964)". The record is from RNAcentral. Lineage: Eukaryota; Viridiplantae; Streptophyta; Magnoliopsida; Brassicales; Brassicaceae.
UUGAAAUUAAAAGGUAUAUAGGAUUAAAGGGUAUUUAAGAUUAAAGGGAUAUAUGAAUUAAGAGGAAACAUAGGAUUAUGGGGUAUUUGAGAUUAGGGAUAUAUUAGAUUUAGAAUAUUUCAAAUCUCAAAUACCCCUUUAAUCUCAAAUGCCCUUUAAUCUCAAAUAUUCCUUAAUUUAAAAUAUCAUUAAUCUCAAAUACUCAUAAUCUCAAAUGUCUUUUCAUCUUAUAUACCCCUUGAUCUCAAAUACCCUUAAUCUCAAAUACCUUUUUAAUCUCAAAUGCCCUUUAAUCUCAUAUAACCCUUAAUCUAAAAUGCUCUUAAUCUCAAAUACCUUUAAUCUCAAUUACCCUUUUAAUCUCAAAUGCCCUUUAAUCCCAUAUACCCCUUAAUCUAAAAUGCUCUUGAUCUCAAAUACCCUUAAUCUCAAAUACCUCUAAUCUCAAAUGCCCUUUAAUC